GUCGAUUUGUUUUGUUUGAUUCUUCACUGUAUUUCUUUUGGUUUAGGGCCUCAAAAUUAUGUAAGUACAUAUAAUAUACUAUAUUUUUAAUAUUUUUUAUUAAAAAAUUUGAGGAAUGGGGGGUGUCUUCUAUGUGCAGUUCCUGUACCAGGCCCCUUAUGUAUAGUUAUCUUCAUUUGUCUCCACAAACUGGCAGUCAGGGUUAGGAGUUAUCAGGAGAUAUGGUUGUCCUGGCGCCAUCUGGUAUCCUGCUAGAGAGUAGGGAAGCACUGGGACCGUGUCGAUAGGGUGGGAGUAGAAGAGAACACAUUCUCAGUGGGGUCUCCAGAGAGCCUGGUGUGGAAGGCCAGGGCACAUUUCCAGAGCACUGAAGCCAGGCUGGUGAGAGUAGAAGUAAAUGCUGUGGAGAAGGAGGCAAGAGGUAGGGUCAGCGGGCCGUUGGAGGGCCUAAACCUCCUUGGAAGAUAGGCAGAAAGGUCUAGACUCUAUCCUUUGGCAGGGAAACCACUGUAAGAAGUCUGAGCAAAAGUGUUGGUUUGAAGGAAUUGGUCUCUUGAGGUGACAAGUCAAAUAAGUGAUGCACCACCAGUGGGACCAGGUUUCUGCCAAGCGCUCGGCUGCACGCUGUGCAUAACCAAAUGAAUAAGGCACAGCACCUUUUCUCAAAGAGCUCAUAGAAGGAAAGAUGAGAUCACAACACAAUGCCCUGAUGGCAGGGCUAGGGUGCUGGGUGAACACGGAGAAGAGAAAUGGCAUCUCAUCCCGCCUGAGAGUGGAGAGUGGUCAGAGGAGGCUUUCUGGAGGAGGUGAGCCAAAGACCAUGGGGAAAUUCGCCAUAUGUUCUAUUAAACAACUACGACGUAACAACCAUUGUUCUAGGCCCUGGGAGUACAGCAGGGAACAAUAAGCACAACAAAAAUAUUUUUAAAAUUAAAUUAUAUAAUAUGCUACAUAAAUGCUACAUAGAAGAAUAACACAAGAGAUCAGAGAGUAUGUGUGACAGGGCUUGGUUAUAAGAAAUGUCAAAAACUUGCACCACAGCGGUUGUAGGAGAGAUGGAGAGGAGGGGAUGAAUUCAAGACAUGUUUAGUAUAAAAAAAAAAAAUAGGUCUCAGCAACUUACAGCAUGUGGAGUCUAAAGGGGAAGAAGAAACUCAGGAAGAUGCCAGGAUUCUGUUUUAGGGAAGGGCUGAGGGGGAGGGGGGUUGCUACCACUGUAAACAAAUUCACCAAAAGUGUCUUUUCACUCUUUCCCACUCAAUCUCUUUCAAACAACUGUGACUGCCCAGAGGUAUACCUUAGAAUUCAAUCUUUCCAUGUAAAGCUUUAACUCCUGUUAAAAGACUUGUACCAAAGUUUAAACCAUGAUCAGUUGUCUACAUCUUAGUUCUUGUAUUCUAAAAGUGGGGUCCAUGAAUGGGGCUUCAGAGUACCUGUGAAUUCUCUGAUAUUGUCAGGAUUUUUCUAGGGAAAGGAACUAUAGCCUUCAUCAUGUUCUAUAAGGGAUGUAGGCCUCCACCUCUGUGCAGAUUAAGUGCCUGAGACGAGGUAAGAGAGAAGUGCCUAGACACUUGGGAGAAAGCUGGGGCCCAAGAGAAGGGAGAGAGGAAAUGGAAAAAGAUAGGGGGAGGGUGAUGCCAGAAGAUCAGCCCUGAGUGCUUCUUCACUCACCUGAAAGGCUUGGGAGCUAACAGGAAAGGAUGGGCUGUUCUCUGCUGCCCUCCCCCACUGUCCGGCCAGGACACCUGGGAAAGAUAAAGUGAAGGGCCAAACCCUUCAUUGAAGUACCCUUCACCAAAGUAUCUGUGAGGUGGGCGUUAGUAAGGGGCUGGCCCCACAAAGCACACAGCCAGGGUGCAGAACAAGAUGGUUCAGCCCAUAGAUGCUGCCAAGGGGUCGAGGGCCGAGGCAGAUCAGAACCCUCCGAAGACCACCCAGAGCAGGUACUGAGCCUGCAACUUGACCCCACCAGCUCCUGCCAGGACCCUUGGCAGCCCCCAACGUGAGAGCAUGGCCAAGUGUUAAAAGCAGAGGCUCACAGAGCAGCCCAGGAGACUCUGCAAGUUCCCAGGGCCGGAUCUACUGGCCUUGGACUUUACUCGUGCAGGCGCUUGCCUCAGAGCCCCUUACCUUUUGGGGGUCUUAGGCGGCAGGUAAGAGGGUCUCCUUCCCGGACAUCCUAGGAGGUAACUGGAGAGCAGAAGCUAGACGAAAGGGUAGGGGUAACCUGUUCUUAAAGGCAGGAAGUCCUGGGACCAGCGCUGGCAGGUGUUUUAGGCGUCAGGGACGGCCCUGGUCGCAUUGCCUGGCGCGUCGCAGCACUCAGGCAGGUUGGAAAGACGGUCCCCCUACCCCACCCCUCCAGCCACUCCUCUCAGUGAUGCCUCCUCCGUGAGUCUUCUUGGCCUCAGGAAUUGCUCCCUUGCCUGGGAACUACCACGCGGUCUAGAGAGACCGUGGGCUAUCGAAGAGUCUGGCCCGGGGUUGGCCCUGCCCGUCACUCCAGGAGGAUGGACAGAUGCAGGGACAGAAAGAGGGACUGGAGUUCACCUAGAGGUUUCUUAUUAACUGUCCCCAACCAGCUAAUUCCACCGCUUGUCUUCAAAGCUCUCUGCGCCGGGAGGCUGAGUCCGAGGACGGCGGGCGGAGGCGGGAAGAGUCGAGACCCCAGGUUAUGGAACGGCGCGGAGACAGUGGCCACAGGGAGCGGGAACUCGGGUGCUGAAAGCAGUCCUGGAGGGCUGCGCGGGGGCGAGGCCGAGACCACUCCCUCCUACUUCCCCGACGUUAUUUCCUGGGAGGAGUCGGAGCUGGCGGCCAGCGAGCAGAGAGAUUCCCGGAUCCCUCCUCCAGAGUAUGCAGCACGGGGGCCAGUGGUCCCUGAGCGCGCGCCAGGACCGUUUGGCCUUGAAUCAAGGCGCUAGGGCUGCGGAAAGUCUAGUACGACCUCUAAGGGUGUCCGCGAUGGCCGUCGCAUGUCGGCUCGUUGGUCUAGGGGUAUGAUUCUCGCUUCGGGUGCGAGAGGUCCCGGGUUCAAAUCCCGGACGAGCCCUACUUUGGUUUUUGCGGAGACGAGAGCGUGCCCUAAGGUGCUUGUUAUUGGAACGGCGCUGCGGAGGCUCGACUGGGAAGUGAUAAGAGCGAACUGAGCGCUUCAAGGAGGAGGGCAGUAAGGUCUCUUGUUUUGAGUGGAUACCCCGGUGGCAGGAAGAGGCUCACAGUGCACGGUCCUUCCUAGUGUGCCAGGGAGAACGCAGGCACCUCCAGACUUGGCCAAGACAUUCACUGUCUGCUCCCCUCCUUCCUGCUGGGUGCUUCUCCUGUGCCACCAGAGCCUGGUUUCGGUUUGAUUGAUGCCUGUCAACCUAUAGUAGUGGAUGACAGGUAGUGAAAUGAAGUGAGACCUCUUCAGGGUGGUGUUUGUGAGACCCCAGGGACUUUCAGGACUCAGGUCUUUGCAGCCUCGCAGCCCGUCUGUCUCUCGGUCACUCCUGCUCGUUACUACCCUUCUGGGGACUCACGCUCAGUAGGUUGAUUAGCCAUUACUCUCAUCGUUCAAUAUGCUUACUAGAAGUGUUCGUUGACAAUAACUUGAAAAACACAGAUGGGCAAACAGCACAAAACCGACGGCCCGAGUAAUCCCGCCUUCAGACUUUACCUCCGGCGUGGCGCUCGCUUUCGCCCGCAGCCGUGCGGAGACCCGGGCACGCGCCCCGCUCCGCACAGGGCACCGAGCCUGGGUUUUGUUUCCCUUGGCCUCCUCUCUUCUGCGUCUGUGGACUGGCACGGCCAUCCCAGGCGGAGAGUCCAGCGCGCUGUUUUCGAUGAGAGGGGCGUGAGGAGUACACCCGGCCGGGGUCGCGGGGAGCUGGCGCCUCACACGACCCUGGACACGCGACACUGGGACUAGGCCCAGGGAAAGGGGGGAAAAAUUUUUUUUAAAAGCACGGUUGCGUUGGCCGGGAAUCGAACCCGGGUCAACUGCUUGGAAGGCAGCUAUGCUCACCACUAUACCACCAACGCCGGCUAGCAAGCUUUCUUCCUGGGAUUCUUUAGGACUUAGAUACGUCGGCAGAGUCGUGGCCUGGGAGAUGUAACUUGGGGUCUGAACCAGAGCCCAGCAAGGGGUAAACACGAGGAAGGCCGAGACACAACGGCUGCGGUCUGCGGGGCACGCACGUGUGAGCGGCGCUCGGCUCCCAUCACCGCCAGUGCGCUCCAGUCACCCCACGAGAAACUGUGUGAUUCUACCCAGUCGACAGAGGGGGAAACCAAGGUCCAGAGAAGUUAAGUGAAGGGGUUUUCUGGCAGAGCUGGGAUUCAACCGUAAGAUUUUCUAGGGGCCCAGAUCUGCAUCGACAUAAUGGCUCUAUCAUCCCCCAAAAUAAAUCCCGAACACAUAAAAUCGCUUCUCUGUUGCGUGACCUCAGUGUGUCCCAAGAUUAAAGAAUCGGGCCUUAAACCAAGUGCGCCCAAGCCCAAUUUGUCCAGAGGAGGAUGUUUAAUUCCCUUGUGCGCGCGCAUCUAGUCUGCUAGCCGCUCUGAGAAACACGUGGACAAAAAUCUUCGGGGCGAGGUCUGAGAAUCAAACUCCGCCCCUAUUGCUGAUGAUGUGUCUGUUCACGAGACCCGUCAAGCGGCGGCCUCCAGAAGGCCUCGUGGCGCAACGGUAGCGCGUCUGACUCCAGAUCAGAAGGUUGCGUGUUCAAAUCACGUCGGGGUCAAAAGGUCACUUGUUUUCCGUAUCUGGAUAGACUGACUCGCUGUAAGAUAUUUCAAUAAAGAAAAAUGCACCUGCUUUUACUAUAUGAGGAAAAUAUGAACCUGAGUGUUUCUGUGUUUUUUUUCCUAAAGUUACAUGAAUUUUCCCCUAAAACAAAAAUUUUAGAACUUUUCACCUUACUGUUUCCGUAAAAUCAAUUAAAAUACUAAUAUCUUUCAUCUCAUGGAUAUUUUAGGUAUGCUAACACAGAAAUUGUUUCUAAACAGCCCCCAAUUCUUGUUCCGAAAAUGUAUGUGGAGCAAUAAGUGUUCCGUAUUGGAAAGAAUGUAGCAAUAAUGAAUAAUUUUAAAGUAAUAAUAGUAAUUUAUAGUCUGUAUC
RNAcentral lists this long non-coding RNA (5101 nucleotides) under Equus caballus (horse). RNAcentral's name for it is "lncRNA (ENSECAG00000047294.1)". The stretch from base 4653 to 4724 matches the Rfam family "tRNA". The record is from RNAcentral. Lineage: Eukaryota; Metazoa; Chordata; Mammalia; Perissodactyla; Equidae.